This 368-nucleotide long non-coding RNA is filed under the name Mytilus galloprovincialis (Mediterranean mussel). Lineage: Eukaryota; Metazoa; Mollusca; Bivalvia; Mytilida; Mytilidae. The record is from RNAcentral.
GGAAAAACAUGCAGGGGCGACAGAGUGAAGAGAACUUGCUUCUUGCAAGACACUUUCGGUGAAAACAAUUUGAUAUGAAGACAAUCUUUUGUUUCAGUUAUUUUUUGUUGUUGUUUUUUUUUAAUUUCCAACAUGAGGCAUUUGCCUCAUUUGCCUCAAUGUAGUUACAGCCUUGCAAGUAAAAUAAGUUUGGUGACCCCAUUUUGUCUUUUUCUAGUCUGAAAGUUUUUUGAAAGCAUGUUAUAAGAGCUAUCUUCUCGCAUUUUAUCUUUAAAUUCUAUAGUGCAGUUUUCUUUUUAUUACACAAAAUUGGAUUUUCUACGGAUAAUCUAUACAAAAUCUGACAAUUUUGAACAAUUUGUAGCAUU